RNAcentral lists this ribosomal RNA (274 nucleotides) under uncultured cyanobacterium. RNAcentral's name for it is "partial 16S ribosomal RNA". It matches the Rfam family "Bacterial small subunit ribosomal RNA", at positions 1124 to 1397 of the family's 1533-position model. Lineage: Bacteria; Bacillati; Cyanobacteriota. The record is from RNAcentral.
CUCAUUUGUUGGGCCUUGAAAGACACUGCGUGUGACAAAGCGGAGGAAGGCGGGGAUGACGUCCAGUCAUCAUGCCCCUUACAUCCUGGGCUACACACGUACUACAAUGCAACGGACAAAGGGCAGCCAACUAGCGAUAGUGCGCAAAUCCCAUAAACCGUUGCUCAGUUCAGAUUGCAGGCUGCAACUCGCCUGCAUGAAGGCGGAAUCGCUAGUAAUCGCAGGUCAGCAUACUGCGGUGAAUACGUUCCCGGGCCUUGUACACACCGCCCGU